Molecule: ribosomal RNA, 253 nt
Filed under: uncultured bacterium
Lineage: Bacteria
Description: partial 16S ribosomal RNA
Rfam family: Bacterial small subunit ribosomal RNA
Source: RNAcentral
UACGUAGGUGACAAGCGUUGUCCGGAUUUACUGGGCGUAAAGAGCGCGCAGGCGGUCGUUCAAGUCGAGUGUGAAAGCCCCCGGCUCAACUGGGGAGGGUCAUUCGAUACUGAUCGACUUGAAGGCAGGAGAGGGAAGUGGAAUUCCCGGUGUAGUGGUGAAAUGCGUAGAUAUCAGGAGGAACACCGGUGGCGAAGGCGGCUACCUGGACAGAAACUGACGCUGAGGCGCGAAAGCUAGGGGAGCAAACAGG